Molecule: long non-coding RNA, 451 nt
Organism: Mauremys reevesii (Reeves's turtle)
Lineage: Eukaryota; Metazoa; Chordata; Testudines; Geoemydidae
Exons: 3
Source: RefSeq, a predicted model, not a curated record
ACUGGUCUGGGGCCCCUUUGGACCGUGGUCCUGGUGCCAUGGCGCUGUAAAUCCAGUACUGGCACUAUGUGCCUGAGUCUGGACAUUUUUAGUAAGCAGCGUCCAUUUGUCUGCACAUCUGCAGUUGUUCUCAUGGUCUGAACCGAAGGUAUAAAGGGCGGCUCAGACCAGCAUUUCCCCAGUUACUUCUCCUGCCACAAAUCCAGUUAUGAUCAGCAGCAGAGGAGACAGAGGGCAGGUUGUAGAAUACAGAAAGAGACCACACAUCUCAAAGAACCUCCAGCUACAGGUGUAUCAGUAGUAGAAGACUGGACCAAAGAAGGUGUAUAAGGAGCUCCAGGCAGCUGCCCUACAUAUCUCCAGUAGAGAUAAAAGUCCAGAGCUCUUCGGACGUCUAGAGAAUGAAGACUUCUCUCCUUAUCAGAAGCAUGUGGUUUUGGAAAAAUAUUGG